This 737-nucleotide ribosomal RNA is filed under the name uncultured bacterium. Its description in RNAcentral is "bacterial SSU rRNA". It matches the Rfam family "Bacterial small subunit ribosomal RNA", at positions 45 to 750 of the family's 1533-position model. The record is from RNAcentral.
UGCUAUACAUGCAAGUCGAGCGCAGGAAGUUAUCUGAUCCUCUUUUAGAGGUGACGAUAAUGGAAUGAGCGGCGGACGGGUGAGUAACACGUAGGCAACCUGCCUGUAAGACUGGGAUAACUCGUGGAAACGCGAGCUAAUACCGGAUAACACUUUUCAUCUCCUGAUGAGAAGUUGAAAGGCGGCUUUUGCUGUCACUUACAGAUGGGCCUGCGGCGCAUUAGCUAGUUGGUAAGGUAAUGGCUUACCAAGGCGACGAUGCGUAGCCGACCUGAGAGGGUGAUCGGCCACACUGGGACUGAGACACGGCCCAGACUCCUACGGGAGGCAGCAGUAGGGAAUCUUCCGCAAUGGACGAAAGUCUGACGGAGCAACGCCGCGUGAGUGAUGAAGGUUUUCGGAUCGUAAAACUCUGUUGUUAGGGAAGAACAAGUGCCAUAGUAACUGAUGGCACCUUGACGGUACCUAACCAGAAAGCCACGGCUAACUACGUGCCAGCAGCCGCGGUAAUACGUAGGUGGCAAGCGUUGUCCGGAAUUAUUGGGCGUAAAGCGCUCGCAGGCGGUUCUUUAAGUCUGAUGUGAAAUCUUACGGCUCAACCGUAAACGUGCAUUGGAAACUGGGGAACUUGAGUGCAGAAGAGGAGAGUGGAAUUCCACGUGUAGCGGUGAAAUGCGUAGAGAUGUGGAGGAACACCAGUGGCGAAGGCGACUCUCUGGUCUGUAACUGACGCUGAG